AACGCGAAGAACCUUACCUGGGCUUGACAUGGACGGAAAACCGGCAGAGAUGUCGGGUCCUUCGGGGCCGUCCACAGGUGGUGCAUGGCUGUCGUCAGCUCGUGUCGUGAGAUGUUGGGUUAAGUCCCGCAACGAGCGCAACCCCCGUUCGAUGUUGCCAGCGGGUAAUGCCGGGGACUCAUCGAAGACUGCCGGGGUCAACUCGGAGGGAGGUGGGGACGACGUCAAGUCAUCAUGCCCCUUAUGCCCAGGGCUUCACGCAUGCUACAAUGGCCGGUACAGCGGGUUGCGAUACCGUAAGGUGGAGCGAAUCCCUAAAAGCCGGUCUCAGUUCGGAUCGGGGUCUGCAACUCGACCCCGUGAAGUCGGAGUCGCUAGUAAUCGCAGAUCAGCAACGCUGCGGUGAAUACGUUCCCGGG
Molecule: ribosomal RNA, 419 nt
Filed under: uncultured bacterium
Lineage: Bacteria
Description: bacterial SSU rRNA
Rfam family: Bacterial small subunit ribosomal RNA
Source: RNAcentral